This 253-nucleotide ribosomal RNA is filed under the name uncultured bacterium. RNAcentral describes it as "partial 16S ribosomal RNA". It matches the Rfam family "Bacterial small subunit ribosomal RNA", at positions 524 to 776 of the family's 1533-position model. The record is from RNAcentral.
UACGGAGGAUGCAAGCGUUAUCCGGAUUUAUUGGGCGUAAAGCGUCCGCAGGUGGUUUUCCAAGUCUGCUGUUAAAGCGCGAGGCUUAACCUCGUACAGGCAGUGGAAACUGGAUGACUAGAGUAUGGUAGGGGUAGCGGGAGUUCCCAGUGUAGCGGUGAAAUGCGUAGAUAUUGGGAAGAACACCAGCGGCGAAAGCGCGCUACUGGGCCAUUACUGACACUCAUGGACGAAAGCUAGGGGAGCGAAAGGG